GACGAACGCUGGCGGCGUGCCUAAUACAUGCAAGUCGAACGCACUCUCGUUUAGAUUGAAGGAGUUUGCUCCUGAUUGAUAAACAUUUGAGUGAGUGGCGGACGGGUGAGUAACACGUGGGUAACCUGCCCUAAAGUGGGGGAUAACAUUUGGAAACAGAUGCUAGUACCGCAUAAAACCUAACACCGCAUGGUGUAGGGUUGAAAGAUGGUUUCGGCUAUCACUUUAGGAUGGACCCGCGGUGCAUUAGUUAGUUGGUGAGGUAAAGGCUCACCAAGACCGUGAUGCAUAGCCGACCUGAGAGGGUAAUCGGCCACACUGGGACUGAGACACGGCCCAGACUCCUACGGGAGGCAGCAGUAGGGAAUCUUCCACAAUGGACGAAAGUCUGAUGGAGCAACGCCGCGUGAGUGAAGAAGGUUUUCGGAUCGUAAAACUCUGUUGUUGGAGAAGAAUGUAUCUGAUAGUAACUGAUCAGGUAGUGACGGUAUCCAACCAGAAAGCCACGGCUAACUACGUG
RNAcentral lists this ribosomal RNA (520 nucleotides) under uncultured bacterium. RNAcentral's name for it is "partial 16S ribosomal RNA". It matches the Rfam family "Bacterial small subunit ribosomal RNA", at positions 28 to 507 of the family's 1533-position model. The record is from RNAcentral.